GUGCUCGCUUUGGCAGCACAUAUGCUAAAAUUGGGAUGAUAUGGAGAAGAUUACCAUGGCCCCUGCACAAAGAUGACACACACCAUGUUUUU
This 92-nucleotide small nuclear RNA is filed under the name Otolemur garnettii (small-eared galago). Lineage: Eukaryota; Metazoa; Chordata; Mammalia; Primates; Galagidae. The record is from RNAcentral.